AUUAUGGAGAGUUUGAUCCUGGCUCAGGAUGAACGCUGGCGGCGUGCCUAAUACAUGCAAGUCGAGCGAAUUGACAGAGGUG
RNAcentral lists this ribosomal RNA (82 nucleotides) under Macrococcoides goetzii. Its description in RNAcentral is "Macrococcus goetzii partial 16S ribosomal RNA". It matches the Rfam family "Bacterial small subunit ribosomal RNA", at positions 1 to 82 of the family's 1533-position model. The record is from RNAcentral. Lineage: Bacteria; Bacillati; Bacillota; Bacilli; Caryophanales; Staphylococcaceae.